ACAGCAAUGCAGGAUCCGAGCCGUGUCUGCGACCUACACACACAGCUCACGGCAACAACGGAUCCUUAACCCACUGAGCGAGGCCAGGGAGCGAACCUAGAACCUCAUGGCUCCUAGUCGGAUUCGUUAACCACUGUGCCAUGACGGGAACUCCCAACUUCCUUUAGGUUUAGAAGAGAAAUGAUGCAAGAGGGAAGGAAAUGCACAGAGGGUGACUUCAGGAUGGGGCAGAAGAGAGGAUAGGAAUGAGUUAAUGAUCUUUGUGAAGAAUGAAAAUAAAUGAAAAAGUAGAAAUAUUAAUACAAGGCUAUGAUAAAAGAGGAAAAGUUUAGAAGGAAGAAUUUGCUUAAGUCACUGCCAGGGAGAAACGGAGAGGAAAGUAUAUGAGAGCAAAGUGACACAGAAAGAAAAGGAUCAGUGUGAGAGGUGAGGAGAGAAUAUUUAGAAGAGUGAAAUAGCUCAAAAUUCUAUUGCCUCCUUAGCCCCUAGGAAGAAGGAACUGCAUUUCACUCAGGCCGAGUCAUAGCAUUUGGGGAUGAACUUGCACAGGCAAUGUACGGGAAAGAUGCUUGGUGGGCAAGGUCACCAUCAACGUGUUUCCCCUUAGAAACCUGAGUGCAAAACCAACCCCCUUCAAAACAAAAGGCAGUUCUGAGAGAACUGAGGAUAAAACUUGCAGCAGUAAGAAGUGAUGGGUGGCUAUCCACCUAUGCCAAGUAGGAGAACAAUGCGGCUCAAAGACUCCUAACUUUGAGAAUUUCCCAGGAGAGAAUGCAAGCAGCAAACAUACCCUCAGGAAGAUCAACUUCCACACUGUGGUCCAUUAUGAGUAAAGAAAUGCAAUGGAUGACAUGUAAGGAUGCAAGGGGCUGCAUUCAGUGAAAAAAAGUCAAUUUCCCCUCAUGGUAAUGACAUCUCAUUUUUCUCUCCUGAGUUUUAUUCAGCUUCUGCUUCGUAAUAUGGUUUCUCUUUCCUGUGCUAUUGCCCUUGGAAAUAACUCAAAAGACAGUCGAUUUUGUAAAAGCACCUUCCAUGGAUUUUCUCAGUGAAAUCAUAAAGCUGUCAUCACUGAGGAGAGAGAAAUGUUCCCUGAAAAGGGGAAGGCUUCUUCUCUUCCAUUAGCAUAACUCCCACUACUCUUGGAGUCUGUAAAUCCUCUGAUCACCACAGUUUAAAAAGUGAAUUGGGGGAGUUCCCAUCAUGGCGCAGUGGUUAACGAAUCCGAGUAGGAACCAUGAGGUUGAGGGUUCGGUCCCUGCCCUUGCUCAGUGGGUUAACGAUCCGGCGUUGCCGUGAGCUGUGGUGUAGGUUGCAGACGCGGCUCGGAUCCCGUGUUGCUGUGGCUCUGGCAUAGGCUGGUGGCUACGGCUCCGAUUCGACCCCUAGCCCCGGAACCUCCAUAUGCCGUGGGAGCGGCCCAAGAAAUAGCAAAAAAAGACAAAAAAAAAAAAAAAAAAUGGCAAGAUACCAGUCUGUCUGCACCUGCACCUAGGGCUACCACCGCAGAGUUAAAUCCAGACAAAUGCCAUUGUGAUUUAAGGCAGUGACUGGGAGCUCCGAUAGGCAGUUCUGAAAGGGAGAGUGGUACCCUGCUUUUCUGCAUCAACUGAUGAGAGGUCCACUGUGCUUGGCAACAGGGUCCAUACCCUUGGGCAGCCUGCAUCAUUUAAGUUGUUAACCAUGAUUACCUACCAUAUGCUUUUCAGAUUUUAUCUUAGUGGCUAAGACUAUAAAACUUAUACUAAGAAAAGAAAUUGGUCUUUAAGAAUUUAUUGUAUAAUUCAAUCUGACAGUGAAAUGAACACAAUUUGAUGAUCAGUGAGGAUGGAGAGAGUAAACAGGUCCCCUCUGAAAUUCAAAGCUCUUUGUAUCAGCUCCAGCUGAUAAAAAAGGGAAAACAUUUCCCAGGACUCUUGCCUAACAUGGUAAUACAAAACACUCUCUGGGAAAUGUACUGUAUGUCUUUUACAAAGGAUUUGGUAAACUGACUCAUGGUUUUGAAGGGAGUGUGAUGAUGAAGAUGCUGGCCCUGUGUUUUUUUUUUAAGUACUUAUUCUUUCCAUUUCCCCCACUAUAGCCAAUUGAAUAAGUGAUAAGCAAAUAUGUACCCAAAUUCACCUGCAGGAUGUGCUUUAAGGAAAGUGUUCUCUGAAUUUGCUGCCAUGUGUUAGGCUUUAUGUUUAUCACAACAGACCACCAAAAUGGGCUGGCACAGGAGUUCCUGCUGUGCCUCAGUGGGUUAAGAACCUGACAAGUAUCCAUGAGGAUGCAAUCCCUGGCCUCACUCAAUGGGUUAAGGAUCUGGCGAUGCUGUGAGCUGUGGUGUGGCUUGUAGACGUGGCUCAGAUCUGGCGUUGCUGUGGCUACAGCUCUGAUUGGACCUCUAGCCUGGGAACUUCCAUAUGCCAUGGGUGCAGCUCUAAAAAGAUUAAAAAAGAAAAAAAAAAAGACCCAGCACAAAGGAUACUUACCCAACCUCAAAUUGGCAAGAAGGUAAAACCUUCUGUCCCUGUGCAUUAGGAAAAUACAGCUUUCCAUCCUGUCACCCUAUGAAGGAAGUGUCUAAAAAUGUCUUUACACAGUGAUAUGAGGAAAUUUUUUUUCUUUUUAGGACCACACUAGCAGCACAUGAAAAUUCCCAGGCUAGAUAUCGAAGUGGAGCUGCAGCUGUUGGCCUGUGCCACAGCCAUGACAAUGUCAGAUCCAAGCUGCAACUGAGGCCUAAGCUGCAGCUGCGACAAUGUCAGAUCUUUAACCCACUGAAUGAGGCCAGGGAUUGAACCCACAUCCUCAUGGACACUAUGUCAGGUUUUUAACUUGCUGAGCCACAAUGGGAACUCCUGAUAUGAAGAACUUAAUGUGUCACCUUUCCCUUCUCAGGGAUAUCUGUCUUGUAGAAAUAAUGGGAAGAAUGUGUCCAGAUAUAGCAUGGAUCAUAGGUUACACACAGGGGAUUUGAGGUUUCCUUAGAGGAGGUAUUUUUCUGUGGGACAGCUUCCCUGUGCCUCUCAAUCAAACCUCAAAUUAAGAUUUAGAACUGAUGACAUGUGCCAUUUAUUCAUGUAGAAUGCCAUUUACUCAUUUAUUCAUGUAGAACAAGUCCUGGGAUCCUCAGUUCCCCACAAGGCACUGCUGUACUGCCGCUAACAGACAACAGAGGGCACUGCUGAGCUGCUGGAUGGGAUCUCCAGCAUGCAAUUCAUAGGUGGGGAAAUGUUUUGAACUGCUUUACCCCGUGUGGGUUUUCAGCUCCUGUUGUAUUUCUUGCUUAAUGAGCUGUGUUAAUUUUUUGCCGUAUUCUCAGCCCAUCAGUAGGAAAGAAGUUUCAAAAUGAUGAUAUCGUGUGGUUCAGAAUCAUAUUUUUUCUUUAGCAUGUGCUUAAUGCUUAUUAGCUGAAGGAGAGAGAUCGAAAACUUUUAAGGUUUCUAUUUACCCUGGGAUCUACUGAUGGUCUCAGCAAUGUCAGACUGUCUAAUUUCAAAGCUGCCUGGCUUUAUCCACACCCAAACCUCUAUAAAAAUCUCACUUAAUAGAAAUGACCCAGUGUUUCUCACUUUUAGAAAUGUCAGGGGUUCAUUACAGGGAAGAGGAAAAACUAGAUCUAUUUUUAUAGGAUGGAGAGCCACAAUGUACAAGAACAGCAGACCAGCCUGCUUCACCAGGUAGAUCUGGGGCAGCAUGCAUGUGUGUCCUUGUCCCAGGAUGAGCUCAGUGCACAGGUGUCAUACAAACAUGGAAGGGGCGGUACUAUCAGCUUGGAAAAAUACUACAAAAUAUUUGUCUGGAGAGCUUCCAGAAUGCUGAGUUGAGAUGCAGAGGACUGGAGAAGUCAUUCUUUAUAACACUCCAGGUUCUACUCUUUUGAAUCCCAUUUGUGUAAGGAAUGAGACCCAUUAACUGUCACCUAGUAAUGCAAUUUGUAAAAGCUCAUUAUCGACACGCUUCCGCUUUAACGCUUGGCAGUAUGGAUUUUCUAUGAGCCUAGAACCAAGGCUCAGUUACUGAAAAGAAAACCUAGUUAAUCUGUUUAUGGUUAUGAGGAAAGAAACAAGGAAGAAUAAAUAUCUAGAUUCAUACAAGGCACAUUUCUAUAGUGUCCUCUCUCUCUCUCUUUGUCUUUGUAGGGUUGCACCCUCGGCAUAUGGAGGUUCCCAGGCUAGGGGUCAAAUUGGAGCUGCAGCCGCCGGCCUACAUCACAGCCACAGCAACACCAAAUCCUUAAUCCACUGAGAGAGGCCAAGGAUCGAACCUGAGUCCUCAGGGAUACUAGCCGGGUUCGCUACCCCUGAGCCACAAUGGGAACUCUAUGUUUCUAUGGUUUUCUUUGGAAACACUAAUGAAGCAAUCCUGGCCCUGUCUACCUUCAGGGGGAUGCGAAACAGGGUGCUUGACAGCACCAACUUUGAUGGAAGUUCUGAGGCAAACUACUCAACUUCUCUAAGCCUCAGUUUCCCCAGAUCCAAAUGGAAACAACAGUAAUAAGUAUUUGAGAAAACUGCCUGGCUCAGACAUAGUAAAAGGCCAAUGAAUGUUAGUUAUUAUUAGACAAACUAGCCAUUUAAAUGUCCAUGGGUCCCCAUUUCCUCAUCAGUACUAUAUUAGUGCUUCCGGAACUUUUCCCACGAAACUACCCCUUAUAGCAUCAGAUCAGAAUAUAUUCCCAGAAGUUGGGAGUCCUCACCUGCAAAUCCCUUCCAUUUGUCUUUCAGUUUUACAGUUGAUAUAUUUUUUCUUACAAAUUUUUUCUUUUUAGGGCUGUACCUGCAACGUAUGGAUGUUCCCAGGCUAGGGGUCGAAUCAGAGCUGCAGCUGCCAGCCUAUGCUACAGCCGCAGCAACACCAGAUUUGAGCAGUGUCUGCAACCUACACUGAAGCUCACAGCAACACUGGAUCCUUAGCCCACUGAGGGAGGCCAGAGAUCAAACCCACAUCCUCACACACACAGACACCACAUCGGGUUCUUAACCCACUGAGCCAUAAUGGGAACUCCCUCAUUAUCUAAAUAUUUUUUAAAAAUAUCAGAGUACAGGAGUUCCCGUCGUGGCACAGUGGUUAAUGAAUCCGACUAGGAACCAUGAGGUUGUGGGUUCUAUCCCUACCCUUGCUCAGUGGGUUAAGGAUCCGGUGUUGCCGUGAGCUGUGGUGUAGGUUGCAGACGCAGCUCGGAUCCCGUGUUGCUGUGGCUCUGGUGUAGGCCGGCGGCUACAGCUCCAAUUAGACCCCUAGCCUGGAAACCUACAUAUGCCGCGGGAGCUGCCCAAGAAAUGGCAAAAAGACAAAAAAAAAAAAAAAAAAAAAAA
Molecule: long non-coding RNA, 5300 nt
Filed under: Sus scrofa (pig)
Lineage: Eukaryota; Metazoa; Chordata; Mammalia; Artiodactyla; Suidae
Description: lncRNA (ENSSSCG00000057644.1)
Source: RNAcentral